Molecule: unclassified non-coding RNA, 380 nt
Filed under: soil metagenome
Description: partial contains 5.8S ribosomal RNA, internal transcribed spacer 2, and large subunit ribosomal RNA
Rfam family: 5.8S ribosomal RNA (bases 1-120)
Source: RNAcentral
GAUGAAGAACGUAGCGAAAUGCGAUAAGUAAUGUGAAUUGCAGAAUUCAGUAAAUCAUCGAAUCUUUGAACGCACCUUGCACCCUUUGGCAUUCUGAAGGGUAUGCUCGUUUGAGUGUCAUUGUACUCUCACACUCCCGAUCUUUGCAUUGGGAGCAGUGGACUUGGGUUUGCUGCUUCACCGUCGCUUACCUCAAAUAGGUUAGUGCAACUCUUGGUUGGACAUAGUACGGCGUGAUAAGUGUUCUUCGCCGGUGCCUCGCAAAGAGGGUGGCCGAUCGGGAUGUUGUGCUCCAAACCGUCUUCGGACAAUCUCUGACGACUUGACCUCAAAUCGAGUAAGACUACCCGCUGAACUUAAGCAUAUCAAUAAGCGGAGGA